RNAcentral lists this ribosomal RNA (753 nucleotides) under uncultured bacterium. Its description in RNAcentral is "bacterial SSU rRNA". It matches the Rfam family "Bacterial small subunit ribosomal RNA", at positions 135 to 887 of the family's 1533-position model. The record is from RNAcentral.
GGACAGGGAUAAGCCCGCGAAAGUGGGUCUAAUACCGGAUAUGACUACGCAGGGCAGCCUGCGCAGUAAAAAAAGCAAUUUGCCUGAAGAUGAGUCCGCGUCCCAUUAGCUUGUUGGUGGGGUAAUGGCCUACCAAGGCGACGAUGGGUAGCCGGCCUGAGAGGGUGUCCGGCCACACUGGGACUGAGACACGGCCCAGACUCCUACGGGAGGCAGCAGUGGGGAAUCUUGCGCAAUGGGGGAAACCCUGACGCAGCGACACCGCGUGAAGGACUAAGGCCUUCGGGUUGUAAACUUCUGUGUUACGGGAAGAAACCGUUGUUUUUUAAUAACGGUUGACGGUACCGUAGUAGAAAUCCCCGGCUAACUCCGUGCCAGCAGCCGCGGUAAUACGGAGGGGGAAAGCGUUGUUCGGAAUUACUGGGUGUAAAGGGCACGUAGGUGUUCAGGCAAGUCUUUUGUGAAAUCCCUCCGCUCAAGGGAGGAAUUGCAUUAGAAACUGUCUGAAUUGAGUACGGGAGAGGAGAGUGGAACUCCAGGUGUAGCGGUGAAAUGCGUAGAUAUCUGGAGGAACACCGGUGGCGAAGGCGGCUCUCUAUCCCGAUACUGACGCCGAAGUGCGAAAGCUAGGGGAGCAAACAGGAUUAGAUACCCUGGUAGUCCUAGCUGUAAACGAUGGGCACUAGGUGUAGGGGAGUUUUCUCUUCUGUGCCGUAGUUAACGCGAUAAGUGCCUCACCUGGGGAGUACGGUC